Long non-coding RNA from Pipra filicauda (Wire-tailed manakin), 251 nucleotides. RefSeq lists it as uncharacterized. Lineage: Eukaryota; Metazoa; Chordata; Aves; Passeriformes; Pipridae. The record is from RefSeq and is a predicted model, not a curated record. The transcript has 2 exons.
AAGCCCUGUCUCAGGCCUUCCCAGACCACGUGCAAUCGCAUCCAGCCCUUACUGCCAUGGAUCGGUGGAUAUUUUCGUUGCCAGGAUUUAGGAAAAGGACAACUCCCAGCAGACAGAUCUCCCGAGGUGGUCUGGAGGAUGCAUCUGCCUGCCCUGAGUCUUCAAUCAAACCUGAGGAUACUUUCAUCUCCUGGCUUUCUGAGGGCACAUUGCUAGGAAAGUAGGAGACAAAAUGCAACUGUCAGAAUACA